CCUCUCUCUCCUCCUCUCUCGCUCGGAUCUACUUUUGCUCUGUCUCUCUCUCUUUCAUUCUAUCUCUCUUAUCUCUUCUCGAUAUUCAUCGGAUUCUCAUAAAUCGAAACAAAAACUGUUGAAUCAAGAAUCAAACCAAACAGUUAUUCUUUUUACGUUCAACUGGUGGAAUCAAUCAAGUUGAUUUAAGUAGAUCCGCGGUUCAAGUUUCGUCUUAUGCUUUAAAAAGUCAAAAAAAUUUCAUUCAAAGAAGACAUCAAUCUGGAGCUCAAGAUCUACAAUGAAUGAUGAAUGGUACGGUUUUAACAAAAGCGAAGUCGGGAGUCAUAAAUGAGGAAGCUGGGAUUCAUAACUCAUGAAGUUUCUAAAUUUUUAAAAAUGAAAGACAGAGUACUCGUUGGGGAGUUACAGAGGGACAUGAGGCAGAAGCGAGUAAACUUAUAGAUCAAGAGUUUCAUGUUUCAACAUUGUGAUGAGGAAAUGGAAGACACGAUAAUCAGUUAGUUCUCAGUGCUCUGCGGAGUAAGAGAGGGACAUUAGACAGAAGCUGAAAAGAAGAAUACAACCUUCACAUGACAGCAGACUUGUAAAUGAGAAUUCAACUGCAUACGAAGACAACAAAAAGGACUGUAAAACAGAGUACUCACUGCAGAGUAAGAGAGGGACAUGAGACAGUAGCUGAAAAGAAGAAUGCAACCUUCACAUGACAGCAGACUUGUAAAUGGUUAGUAAUCACUUAUAUCUUAUUUUCUUUUUGAAUUGAAUAAUCUUUUAUAUAUUUUAAUAAUUUGAUAGGUGUUUUGAAUUUAAGAUAGUCGGUUAGUAGUUUAUUUCAUGAGAAACACUGCCUUAAGUUAAAGUUUGAUACCAAUUGUACUUGCAUUAGUUAAACUAUGAUAAUAGUUUGAUGUUACUUGCAUUUGAUGUUCCUGAUAGUCUUAGAUAAGAAUAGUUUCUGUUAUAAACUGUAGUAGAAUUGGUAGGUUUGACGAAAGAUAAAGAAUAACAAUCUUAAAGGAUAAAAUUUUAGUCUAGAUCCAACAAAUGUUGAUCAUUGGAGAACUUUUUUUAAAUAUUUUAUACAAUCAUACUGUCAUUCUCUAAUUAUUUUUUAUAUAUUACAUGAUCUUGGAUGUUCUCCAAUGUUUGAGGGAAUUCAACGGCAUAAGAAGACAGCAAAAGGGACUGGAAAAAAAUUUACUGUCUGCGGAGUAACAGAAGGAUAUGAGAAAGAAGCUGCAUAAGAAGAGGAACAAAAGUAGUCAUGAUAGACAUUUUUGGGAGGUUUUAGCUUUGAACGAUAUAGUUUGUAGGUGUAGGGGAAGAUGUAUAUAUAGUUAGCGAUGAGAAAGUAGGGUUAACGCGAGAAAAUUUUAUAAAGAUAUUUUUAGUUGUGAUGUUAUCAUUAAAACCGAAUAUACAUAUAUAAUUAUCUUCCUAAAA
This is a long non-coding RNA of Raphanus sativus (radish), 1443 nucleotides long. RefSeq lists it as uncharacterized. Lineage: Eukaryota; Viridiplantae; Streptophyta; Magnoliopsida; Brassicales; Brassicaceae. The transcript is spliced from 5 exons. The record is from RefSeq and is a predicted model, not a curated record.